AGAGUGAACGCUGGCGGUAGGCCUAACACAUGCAAGUCGAACGGCAGCACAGUAGGAGCUUGCUCUUACGGGUGGCGAGUGGCGGACGGGGUGAGGAAUACAUCGGAAUCUACCUUUUGGUGGGGGAUAACGGUAGGGAAACUUACGCUAAUACCGCAUACGCCCUUCGGGGGAAAGCCGGGGACCAGCGAAUGACCUGGCGCUGAUAGAUGAGCCGAUGUCGGAUUAGCUAGUUGGUGAGGUAAUGGCUACACCAAGGCGACGAUCCGUAGCUGGUCUGAGAGGAUGGAUCAGCCACACGUGGAACUGGGACACGGUCCAGACUCCGUACGGGAGCAGCGAGUGGGGAAUAGUGGACAAGUGGGCGACGAAGCCUAGACGUCCGAGCCCAGUACCCGGCGGUA
Molecule: ribosomal RNA, 404 nt
Filed under: uncultured soil bacterium
Lineage: Bacteria
Description: bacterial SSU rRNA
Rfam family: Bacterial small subunit ribosomal RNA
Source: RNAcentral